UACGGAGGAUGCAAGCGUUAUCCGGAAUGAUUGGGCGUAAAGGGUCCGCAGGUGGCAGUGUAAGUCUGCUGUCAAAGAAUGAGGCUUAACCUUAUCAAGGCAGUGGAAACUACACAGCUAGAGUACGGUCGGGGUAGAAGGAAUUCCUGGUGUAGCGGUGAAAUGCGUAGAGAUCAGGAAGAACACCGGUGGUGAAAGCGUUCUGCUAGACCUGUACUGACACUGAGGGACGAAAGCUAGGGGAGCGAAUGGG
Molecule: ribosomal RNA, 253 nt
Filed under: uncultured bacterium
Lineage: Bacteria
Description: partial 16S ribosomal RNA
Rfam family: Bacterial small subunit ribosomal RNA
Source: RNAcentral